ACAGCUCCAGGGAACGCACUCAAAAGUGGGGGGCAGGAAAGGAACAAGGUUGAUCUGGGCAUGAAGUUAAACAGGAUAUUGCUUUCAUCUACUUCAGCCAAAUCUCAAAGUCACUGACCUAAGAAAGACCUCCCCAUCUACUUUGAUAAAAAGCAGAGUUGAAAAUGCUUAGAAGUCAUCCCUUCUGCGGACAUUCUCCGAUCUUUUCAUUUUGCAUUAGGUGUACCUCCUCUGUGAACAUCUGUAGUAUCCUGUGCAUACUCAGAUGCUUAUUGAAGAUAACAGUUUCUGCGUAUGGGAAGUAGAUAUUGAAGGGUAUAUGGUUUACAGACAAGAUCUUUAAAAAAUAGACACUCAAGGUAAGUAAUAAAUAUAGCCUCAUAAAUAAGCUAAUUUAAAUGGUUAGGGCUGCCAAAUUAUAAUUUAAUUUGCUAAACUUGCUUACUUUUUGUCACUGGCCCUGUCUAAGCAACCUCACAACCGCAUUCAUUCAUAUUUGGAAACAAAUUUUUAUGCCUUAAUACCAUCUUGACAGGAAGUAUCAGAUUUCAUUUAUAAUGGGAAGUUGAUAAAAUUGAUGUAUUAUGGAAGAGUGCAAACCAAUUAAGAAGACUGGAGAAGAGAUUAAGUAAACUUCCGUCAAAACUGUGUGCAUAACUCAGUAGAGUUUAACUUGAAAAAAUAAUUUUACAGAAACUAGUAUCCACUGUAUUUUUUAAAUUUAUUUAUGUCCUUAACCAUAUUAAAAGUGUGUUUUUUAACCACUCCAAAAACACUGUCAUAGUUUCAGAUACUAAUAGUAUUACCUCUGAAUACCAAACCUCUUUUUCACUAUUUCUUGAGCCCCCAAAGAUUUGUUUUGACUUACCAUAUCCUUUCACUUAUAUUCUGUGCAUGUCUCCCAUGACUGUUUACAUGCUUAUGUUACUGAGUAAAUUUCUGAAUACACUUGGUAAAAUUUUGAGUGAGAUACAAAGAAUACAAAAUGCAAAAUGGUACUUUAAAUAAUUUUGUGUGUCAGGUAGGUACACUGGAACCUUGGAGAAUAUGUGACCUGUUAAUGGGGCACUUUUGUUUAGCUCUAGAAUCCUUUCUAAGUGGGAAUAUUAGACCAGUAAAAUCAAAUUUUGUUAUUUUUUUUCAGAAGAAACCAGAAAUACUUUGAAAAGUCCUAAUUUUUCAAUAUCAGCAUAAAAUUUUUCCUGUGACAAACUCCACUUCUGCUACUGUGUGAAUCAAAUAAAACAGUAUACAGCCUCUGGUGCAGGAAUUUUUUUUCCUUUGCUCUCUAUUUUUCUUCUUUUUGAGUGUAGGUACUUAGAGUCUAUCUUUUCCCCUUAAUUUCUGGUUAGCAGCUUAGUGAUUUUUGCUAGUUUUCUGUGAUGAAUAUUAUUGUCAAAAAUGACUUCUCUUGAAAAUAUAAAUAUUACUUAUUUUUAAUUUGUUUCUAUAGUUUUAUAUGGUGAGUUGGUUGCUUAGAAGAGCUAUUAAAUUGUUUUCUGAAUUAUAAUAAUUAGAGUUAUUUUUAUAGUUCCUUUAUCUCCACAGUCUAACAUAGAUCCUUCUGAUUUAAAAAAAAAAAAAAAGGUUUCCUUUUUUUUUUUUGCGGUACGCGGGCCUCUCCAUGUCCCCUGCAUUGGCAGGCAGGCUCUCAACCACUGUGCCACCAGGGAAGCCUAAGGUUUCCUUUUCACUGUACCUUUUGCAUAGAAAAUAGAGUUAAUCACAUUCCUUAGUUCACAUGACACACUGUCAUCACUGGUCCAUGAGAAGCACUUUAUUUAUUUAUAUAUUUUCUUUUAUUCUCGUUUCCACUCUCAUGCUGCUGACCUGGACUCAUAGGAAAUCAUUCUAAUGUGAUAGUCUAAUAUCUGUUGCACUGUUCUCUUUUGUUUAUAUGUAUUUUCAGAACAUGAGUAUUCGUUUAUAUAUAUGUAUUUUUUUAAUAUUUUAAGUGGAAAUUUUUAAAUAAAUAAAAAAGAAAAGAGAGUGUAAUAUCAUGAACUUUCAUGUGCCCGUCUCUCAGCUUCAACAGUUAUCUCACGGUUGAGCUUGUCUUAACUAUAUCUUAUGCCUUCUCCCCCACUUAUGCACAUUAAAUUUUAAUAUGCAUAAAUGGUAUUGUGCAACUCAUUCUCUUUAUUACUGUUUCAUUUUACUUAUCUUUACAUUUUUGUCAUUUAUUUAUGUUGUUGUGUUUACAUUGCUUCUAACUGCUGCAUAGUAUUCCAAGGUUUGUAGCUAUCAUGUUUUAACGAUCGACAUUUCCAGUGAUUUCCACCCAGAUUGCUUCCAAUUUCCUGUAGUAACAAACAAUGCCAUGAUGAACAUCCUCAUAUUUCUCCUAGCAUAGAACUUUGCAAGGAUUUCUUUGGGAUAUAUACCCAGGAACAGAAUUGCUGGGUUUAUACUUAAUUUGUCUGAGUCCUGCCAGAUGCUCUGCCAAAUAAAUACUUGGACCACACUUUCACCAGCGGUAACCCCCUCCUUCCUGCCAACCCUUGACAUUAUCUAGCUUUCUAAUACUCUCAAUCUAAUGUGUGUAAUUCUAUAGCUCACUGUUUUAAUUUGAAUUCUUAUCACUAAUGAGUUUGAGUAUCUCUUUUAUAUUCUUGUUGGCCUUUUGGCUUCCCUCCUCUGAAAUUCCUUGUUCCUAUUCUUUAUUUUUCAUUUGGGUUUCUAUCUGUUGGUUAAUGUUCUUUAAGAGUUUAUUAUAUAUUUUAGAUCUUCAUUUCCUAUCAGUUUUAGAUAUUAAAAACAAUCUUCCAUUUUUUUCAACUUUUUAAUUUUAUGCAUAAUGUCCUUUAAGUAGAUAUUCAUGUUUUAAGUAUUCAAUUAAAAAUAUUUUCUUGAAGUCUGCUGCUGGUGUACAGAAAUGCUACUGAGUUUUUGAAACUUGACCUUGGUUCUAACACUGAAUUCUCAUUCUUAAUAACAUUACUGUACUCUCUUUCAUUUUUAUAGGGAGAUGAUAUUAUCAACUAUACAUAAUGACGGUUUUAUUUCUAAUUUCCUUAUCCUUACAUACUUUUACUUCUUUCUUCUUUCCAAUACCUUUGGUCAGUUCCUCUGGAACUAUGUUAAAUGGUAGUACUGACAGUAGGCAUUCUCAUCUUAUGCCUAAUCUUAAAGAGAAUAUAUCUAAUUUCUCACUUAAGCAUAAUGCUUGCUGAAGGUUUUUAAUAUAAAACCUUUACCAAAUUAAGAAAGGUUCUUAUUUCUAGCUUGUUAUGCAUUCUUACCAUAAAUAACUUUCAAACCCAUAAAAUGUUUUUUAUGCAUCUGUUAAAAUAAUCAUGUGAUAUUUAUCCUGGUAUAUUAAUGUUGUGAAUUAUAUAGAUAGAAUUUCUAAUGUUAAACCAUGCCUGCAUUACUAGUUUACACCCUACUUGACCAUGGUGCAUUGUUUUAAUACAUUACUGUAUUUGGUUAGCAAAUAUUUUAUUUAGGAUUUUAGAAUCUACAUUCUUAAGUGGAAUGUGCUAUACUUUUUUCUUCAUUUUCCUUGUCUGGUUUUGCAGUUAAGAUUACACUGGCCUUAUAAAAUGAGAUGAGCAGCUUUUACUCUUUUUCUAUUUUCUAGAAUAACUUUAUAUAAUAUGAAUUUACUGUUUCUUUAAUGUAUGUUAAAACUCAUAUGUAAAAGUAUCUGGUUGUGAGAUUUCUUUGAAUGCUAUUUAUGUCUUUAAUCCCUUUUGAUCUAUUCAAGUUUUCCCCUCAGCUUCUUCCAGUCCCCCUCUCAUGGGUACUGCUAACACCUGAUUGUCCUCCCACCUGCAGGUAUAAUAGCCCAGACCCACUUUCCUUUCAGUCAGGAAAUACCUAGACAAUCUCAGUGUCCACAUCUGAGCCAUGUAAUAGUCACUCUGUUUUGAGCUAAUGUCCUAACCCUGACCAGUGGGCUCUGAUCUGCCCAAUCUUGCUUGACUUAAACUGCCACUGACACAUACCUAAAUUAAUCCUGAACUCCAAUAGUUUUCUACUAUUCUAUAACCAGAAACUUUGGUUAACAAUGCUCUGAAUUGACUUCUUUACAUCUCUUAAAACCUUUGCCAUACUGCUGGUUACGUGUGUUAAGGUUGUGUAAAAGGUAAAUAUUUUGACAAAAGAACAAGUAAGGUUAUUAUGUUCAGGGAAGGUUAAGUGUUCGGAAAAAAAUAGGCAACCAUCCAGUCUAAUGUCCUGUAUAGUAUAUACCAAAUUGUAGUUAACUUUGGAAGAUUUUUACUUUAUCUCCAGAGUUUGACACUUUAUUGUAACCAUUUAUUAUCAGAAGAAUAAUUAAAUGUAUUUCCAUGUACAAAAAGAAAAAAGAGUAGAGAGCACAAGCAGGAAGUUCAUAGACCCACUAACAAAAAGAAAUGAUAAAUAAACAUAUAAUAGUUAUAAUUUUUGAUGCAUUUGAAUGUGUUUCUACCAUCUUAUUUCAGUUUUUCUUACACACUAUCAUACUAUAUCUUUAUUUCUUUUUAAUUCUUUAAAGAUAUAUAUUCUCCCCUAAAAAGAUUCUUGCUGGGGCAAAUUAUGUAUGAGACUUAGAGGUCUUAUUAAGGAAUUUAAAGAUUAGGUUUUAUUUUAACUCUACAAGAAGCCAUUGGUGGGUUUUGAACAUAGGAUUGAUGUAAUUUCUGAAAUUUAAAACAUCUUUGGAAAACAUUGGAUGAUAACUGUGACUUUAGUAUUUUGUUUUAAAAGCAACUCUUUAAAAGCCAUAAAAUAAUAGAUGUGUAAUUUUUACUAUAAAAAUUUUAAAUAAUUAGAAAGAUCUAUAAAUUAACUUUAAAAAGCACUUCAGAACCUCAGAACUAAUAGUUAGUAGCUACAACAAGGAAGAUGCUGAUUUUCUUAAUAUACAAAGAGUGUCAACAAUUCAAUAUGGAAAAGACAACCCAUUUUUAUAAGACUUGAACAUGUAAUUUAUCAAAGAAGAAAUGCAGAUGGCUAACAAACACGAAAAUGUUCCAUUUUCCAACCUCUCCCUUGUAUUGUAGUAACAUUUUUCUAGUGGUCAGUUGCUGCCUGUCAUGUUUUGCUAUUCUUUUCAUUCGCUUAGAGUAUCCUUGUUAUCAGUGCCGUGCUAGUCCUUUUCUUUAUUACUCAUGACCAAAUGUAAUGGUUUUACCUGGCAUGUAUGCGUGUGUGUGUGUGUGUUGGUGGAGAGGGUCCAGAGUAUUGUUCCCAAUUUGCUUUCCAAGGAACAGUCUUCUCUGCUGCCACAGACACAAAAUAUUUCCUGUAAAUAUGGCUUGUUUAUGUAUUCUGUGUGUAACCCCUACCUUCUUUACUUCUCUAAAUCUAACGGAGUCUACUGGAUUCUGCUGAUAACACAACUCACCUGUGUUCCCAUACCUGUGAUUAUAAACAAGGCCUGUAACAACUUAGGGUGUGUUAUGUACCUUCAGGGCAUAUUUUUUGCCAUCACUUUCUGAGAUCCACACCGUGGUGUCCUUUACCACUACAUUUCUCCAAAACUGCUUCUCUUCACUUACGCUCAUGUGGCUACUAUCAGGUCUCAGCUUCUUUUGCCUAUUUCAGAGUUUGGAGAUUACAACUGAAUCCUAAUAUUACUGAAAAUAUAUUUAAAUGUGUUUCUCCAUAAAGAAAGAAAAGGAAAGAGAGAGACACGGAGUGAUGGAUAGAAAGACACAGAGACAGAGAGAGAAGAGAGAAAAUGAAUAAAGCAAUCAACUCUAGGAGCAGAACUGAUCCAGAAAGCAAGAACUCUGGGAAACGUGUUAUAAAAUGACAGAAGGUGAAUUAUGAGCUGGCCAAAACAAACUUAAGAAAUACUUAUUUCAAAGUUGAAGUUGGAAAGAACAGAGAAGAGACUAGACAUUAUGGAAAGUACUUUUAAGGAAUAUAAAAGGUUAAAAUGAGAAGAAUAAACAAAAGAAGCCAAAGAAAGAAUAGAAUAAUCAUAGAAAAAAUUUUGUGUGUUAUGUCUAUAAAUAUUGAUAGAUAAAUUAAGAUAGACACU
RNAcentral lists this long non-coding RNA (5977 nucleotides) under Phocoena sinus (vaquita). Its description in RNAcentral is "lncRNA (ENSPSNG00000009288.1)". The record is from RNAcentral. Lineage: Eukaryota; Metazoa; Chordata; Mammalia; Artiodactyla; Phocoenidae.